Long non-coding RNA from Pristis pectinata (smalltooth sawfish), 290 nucleotides. RefSeq lists it as uncharacterized. Lineage: Eukaryota; Metazoa; Chordata; Chondrichthyes; Rhinopristiformes; Pristidae. The record is from RefSeq and is a predicted model, not a curated record. The transcript is spliced from 3 exons.
AGCGACUCGAGAGUUUGCACUUAGCUCAAUAAUUAGAUCGUCUCUGGGAAGCUCAUCUGCUUUUCUACAACCAUCCGCCGCUGUGGUGAUUCCCUGUGAACGAUCCCUCCGAGAGAGUGACCCUCACCCGCAGUUCGAACCCUGGACUCGCGCAAUGGGUCAUCAAUAAGAUCGGGAAACAUUGGAACGUGGAACAGUGAACAUGUGACUCCUUCCACUCCGCUCCGCUCGGCAGUAAGAUAACGAUAUCCACGCUCGGGGACUCUCUGACAGCACCAACCAACCCAAAC